ACGCACGCUGGCGGCAUGCCUAACACCUGCCAGUCGAACGCGACCUUCGGGUCUAGUGGCGCACGGGUGCGUAACGCGUGGGAACCUGCCCUUAGGUUCGGAAUAACUCCCCGAAAGGGGUGCUAAUACCGGAUAAUGUCUUCGGACCAAAGAUUUAUCGCCUUUGGAUGGGCCCGCGUUGGAUUAGCUAGUUGGUAGGGUAAAAGCCUACCAAGGCGACGAUCCAUAGCUGGUCUGAGAGGAUGAUCAGCCACACUGGGACUGAGACACGGCCCAGACUCCUACGGGAGGCAGCAGUGGGGAAUAUUGGACAAUGGGCGAAAGCCUGAUCCAGCAAUGCCGCGUGAGUGAUGAAGGCCUUAGGGUUGUAAAGCUCUUUUACCCGGGAUGAUAAUGACAGUACCGGGAGAAUAAGCUCCGGCUAACUCCGUG
RNAcentral lists this ribosomal RNA (432 nucleotides) under uncultured bacterium. RNAcentral describes it as "partial 16S ribosomal RNA". It matches the Rfam family "Bacterial small subunit ribosomal RNA", at positions 29 to 507 of the family's 1533-position model. The record is from RNAcentral.